This 65-nucleotide transfer RNA is filed under the name Dipodomys ordii (Ord's kangaroo rat). It matches the Rfam family "tRNA". From Rfam's summary of the family: Transfer RNA (tRNA) molecules are approximately 80 nucleotides in length. Lineage: Eukaryota; Metazoa; Chordata; Mammalia; Rodentia; Heteromyidae. The record is from Rfam by way of RNAcentral.
GGUGGUUCAGCGGUAGAAUGCUUGCCUUGCAUGCAUGAAGCCCUGGGUUUGAUUCCUCAGCACCA